GAAGUAAAGACUGCAAAAUGAAAAGAAGCGAGGCUUUUAGUGAGACUUGCCUAGGGGCGAGUUUCUCAUCCAUCUUGGUUGGUGGUGGUAAUCCAUGUCUUGACUGGGAGACUUGAUGGUCAUGAGCAUAUCAUUGCUAGUUCACCAACAUUAACUAGAGGUGUCAGUUUGUCCACUAGUACUGUGGGACAAGUCCUUGUGCCUCGUUUGCGCCCCUCUUGCUUACCUCCUUAAGUUUUCACAUUGCUCACAUAUUACGUGUAAAAUAAUCGUGCUCGUUGGAUAUUGAGAUGGUUGUUUGUCUGGUACUUGCUUGGUAUAAAUUUUUUAUCAUCAUUAUAACUUUUUUACAUAUCUUUUAAAAUGUUAUCAACGUCGUAGCUCAAACCAACGGUGAUAAUAUAAUUUCACCACCCGUUCAAAACUGAAGGUGAUAGUCAAGAUUAUCAACACUAUCCAAAUCCAAUGCCCCCCAUCCCUCCCUCAUAUUGGCUGUGAGGGGGGGGGGGGGUUCAGACCAAUGGUGAAGGGGUGUACCACCCUAAAACUUUAAAAUUUAAUGCAGUAGCAUUUGCAUUGUGCAUUGAUGCUGAAUAGAUGCAUUAGGCCUUUUGAUUGUAGAUGUGUGAUCGUUGUUAGGGCUUCGUUUAAGUUAUUCGAAGUGGUUUAAGCCCUUUUGGGCCCAAUUCUUUCUAUCUUUCUUUCUUUCCUCUUCCUUCUUUACUCAGCCAACUCAAGUCUUGUGUACUGGGCCGAGCCCAUCUCUACAGCCGCAACAAAUCGACACUCUCAUCCUUAUCCCGAGCACAACACCAUUGCCGCAACAACUCGUGAACCUGACGGUCAUGUUUCGCUCGCUCGUACGCGCUCACGACAGAGGCAGCUGUGAUCUUUCUAUGCCCCUCUUGCCUUAUAAAACGAGGCACCACUGCUCGCCCCUUCCACAUCUGCACGAACUGCCUUCCUUCAUCCUGGGUCGUCGCUGUUCUUCCUUUUGGCUCCAGACCGCCAGGAGGGACCGCCAUCACUCGUCGUCACCUUUCCACGCUGGUACAGGAAGUUCUAGUUAUAGCCCUAUUCAUCCCGAGAGCAAACCGUGUCGUUGCAGGAGGUGUGACAUGGGGUCUGUGCAAUAAUGCAAGCUUUGAAGUAAAGACUGCAAAAUGAAAAGAAGAGAGGCUUUUAGUGAGACUUGCAUAGUGGCGAGUUGCUCAUCCAGUUUGGUUGGUGGUGGUAAUCCGACUCUUGACUGGGAGGGACUUGAUGGUCAUGAGCAUAUCAUUGCUAGUCCACCAACAUUAACUAGAGGUGCCAGUUUGCCCACUAGUGCUGUGGGACAAUUCCUUAUGUUGAGUUUGUGCCGCUUUUGCUCACCUCCUUAUGUUUUUACUUUUACCUUGAUGCCAUCUUUUAUGCAUUUACCUUAUUAUAGAAUAUAAUCUUGUUAUGAUUAGCUCUAGAUUACAACCUCUUCUUACAUGGGAACACUACACCACAGCCCAAAAAUAGCAAUGGC
Long non-coding RNA from Panicum hallii, 1516 nucleotides. RefSeq lists it as uncharacterized. The record is from RefSeq and is a predicted model, not a curated record. NCBI's taxonomy places the organism in Eukaryota, Viridiplantae, Streptophyta, Magnoliopsida, Poales, Poaceae. The transcript has 3 exons.